AUACUUAUCUGGACAAGGUAUGGGUGAUCUCAGUAAAGCCUAUGGCCUAGGCUAGUGACUUCUAUUGCACUUGGGAUGAGUGCUCGUCUAAGGUUUCCCUAAGUUGGAUAGCCUACUUUAUAAACUGUGGAUGUGGUGGGUUGUGUUCGCGCGGUCCUCGU
Molecule: small nuclear RNA, 161 nt
Organism: Hibiscus syriacus
Lineage: Eukaryota; Viridiplantae; Streptophyta; Magnoliopsida; Malvales; Malvaceae
Product: U1 spliceosomal RNA
Exons: 1
Source: RefSeq, a predicted model, not a curated record